GAGUGCGGAACUCGUGGCUAACAACUUACUAACCUGCCCUUAACUCUGGGAUAAGCCUUGGAAACGGGGUCUAAUACUGGAUAUUGACUUUACCUCGCAUGGGGUUUGGUUGAAAGAUUUAUUGGUUUUGGAUGGACUCGCGGCCUAUCAGCUUGUUGGUGAGGUAAUGGCUCACCAAGGCGACGACGGGUAGCCGGCCUGAGAGGGUGACCGGCCACACUGGGACUGAGACACGGCCCAGACUCCUACGGGAGGCAGCAGUGGGGAAUAUUGCACAAUGGGCGAAAGCCUGAUGCAGCGACGCCGCGUGAGGGAUGACGGCCUUCGGGUUGUAAACCUCUUUCAGUAGGGAACAAGGCCAGUGUUUAGCUGGUUGAGGGUACUUGCAGAAGAAGCGCCGGCUAACUACGUGCCAGCAGCCGCGGUAAUACGUAGGGCGCAAGCGUUAUCCGGAAUUAUUGGGCGUAAAGAGCUCGUAGGCGGGUUUGUCGCGUCUGCCGUGAAAGUCCGGGGGCUCAACCCCGGAUCUGCGGUGGGUACGGGCAGACUGAGAGUGAUGUUAGGGAAGACUGGAAAUUCCUUGGUGUUAAGCGGUGAA
This 598-nucleotide ribosomal RNA is filed under the name Adelie penguin guano bacterium 90. RNAcentral describes it as "bacterial SSU rRNA". It matches the Rfam family "Bacterial small subunit ribosomal RNA", at positions 93 to 685 of the family's 1533-position model. The record is from RNAcentral.